Molecule: ribosomal RNA, 484 nt
Filed under: uncultured bacterium
Lineage: Bacteria
Description: partial 16S ribosomal RNA
Rfam family: Bacterial small subunit ribosomal RNA
Source: RNAcentral
AUUGAACGCUGGCGGCAGGCCUAACACAUGCAAGUCGAGCGGAUGAAGGGAGCUUGCUCCUGGAUUCAGCGGCGGACGGGUGAGUAAUGCCUAGGAAUCUGCCUGGUAGUGGGGGAUAACGUCCGGAAACGGGCGCUAAUACCGCAUACGUCCUGAGGGAGAAAGUGGGGGAUCUUCGGACCUCACGCUAUCAGAUGAGCCUAGGUCGGAUUAGCUAGUUGGUGGGGUAAAGGCCUACCAAGGCGACGAUCCGUAACUGGUCUGAGAGGAUGAUCAGUCACACUGGAACUGAGACACGGUCCAGACUCCUACGGGAGGCAGCAGUAGGGAAUAUUGGACAAUGGGCGAAAGCCUGAUCCAGCCAUGCCGCGUGUGUGAAGAAGGUCUUCGGAUUGUAAAACACUUUAAGUUGGGAGGAAGGGCAGUAAGUUAAUACCUUGCUGUUUUGACGGUACCAAAAGAAUAAGCACCGGCUAACUUCGUG